RNAcentral lists this ribosomal RNA (460 nucleotides) under uncultured bacterium. RNAcentral's name for it is "partial 16S ribosomal RNA". It matches the Rfam family "Bacterial small subunit ribosomal RNA", at positions 338 to 795 of the family's 1533-position model. The record is from RNAcentral.
CCUACGGGUGGCAGCAGUGAGGAAUAUUGGUCAAUGGACGAGAGUCUGAACCAGCCACGCCGCGUGAAGGAUGACUGUCCUCGGUGUUGUAAACUUCUUUUAUAAAGGAAUAAAACGAGGCACGUGUGCCUUUUUGCAUGUACUUUAUGAAUAAGGAUCGGCUAACUCCGUGCCAGCAGCCGCGGUAAUACGGAGGAUCCGAGCGUUAUCCGGAUUUAUUGGGUUUAAAGGGAGCGUAGAUGGGUUGUUAAGUCAGUUGUGAAAGUUUGCGGCUCAACCGUAAAAGUGCAAUUGAUACUGGCAGGCUUGAGUGCAGGUGAGGUAGGCGGAAUUCGAGGUGUAGCGGUGAAAUGCUUAGAUAUCACGAAGAACCCCGAUGGCGAAGGCAGCUUGCUGGACUGUGACUGACGCUGAGGCUCGAAAGUGUGGGUAUCAAACAGGAUUAGAUACCCCUGUAGUC